UUCACAUCGACUUGGGUCAGCGUAGCCUACCUUCGCACUUCUAUUUCGCAUUGAGGAUUUAAUAACCUGCUUAACCCCACACAUCGAAACCACGUCUAAUUAGGAGUAGCUGAAGAUGGAGGUUCCCCUAGAGGGAGAUGUGCAGGGCAGCCCUGGAAAAGGAUCCAGUCCAGAAGAAGACAUCCAUGGACAUGUGGGUCCCAUGCAGCAUAAGAGACCAUCCUCUCCAGUGCCGAGCUGUGUGUCCAUGAAGAGUGACUGGUCCAUGGA
Long non-coding RNA from Engraulis encrasicolus (European anchovy), 270 nucleotides. RefSeq lists it as uncharacterized. The record is from RefSeq and is a predicted model, not a curated record. Lineage: Eukaryota; Metazoa; Chordata; Actinopteri; Clupeiformes; Engraulidae. The transcript is spliced from 3 exons.